AGUGCCCAGCAGCUGCCUCCUCACCCUAGCUGAGCUGACCACAAGAUUCCAGACCUCAGCUGGAGCUGCAGCCUCAUACUGGCUGAGUGGCUCCAAGACACAGAAGGAAGCAGGGUGGCAGGCUGACCUCAGCCAGCUGCCUGCCCCCUCUCCUCUGAGGCUGGCCUGGGACCGAUGGGGCUCUUCCCUCCAGGAGGGGUUUCCGGGCCUCCUCUUUUCCCCUACCUCCCUGUGGAGAACUGUCCACCCCUCCAGAUAUGCUCCAGUGAUGUCGGAGGGGAUGCCUCAAUCUGGCGAGACGCAGCGGCAACAAAAUCUGCUCAGAGACAAACGGACAUGUUGCUGAUAUGAAUCUCACUUGGUGAGGAAACUGAGGCUCAGAGAAGAAACAUCAUUUUCCCAGUGAGCCAAGGCAAUGGUGUUAGAACUAUCUCUACCUGGCUCCAGAGCUUGUGUUUAUGCCCCUGCACCGAUACGGCCUUCCAUGAAGCCCGGCCCAGAAAGCUUUGGAGUCUGGUUACAUCUCUGCCAUGCAGGCCUGGCCUUCCCAGGACAAGAGGUAACGAGAUGUGAGCAGAAACAACCUGUGUCACACCUGGGCAGAAGCUUUAAAGGCCAGUGCUGCCCUUGUUGGGGAAGCAAGUAUAGAUAUGAAUCGUUCCACAACGCGGAGCGCCCCCUGCCGACCCAUGCUGGGCGUGUACUAUAGAUGAGGAGACUGAGGAUCAGAGAGAUAAAGUCACCUGUCCAAGGUCAUACUGUGGAUGUAGCUCUAACCCAAGCCCUCCCGACUGCAGCACAAAUUCUCAGCCACUACCCUAUUAGCCCCUUCAUUUGAAGGUGUCUUCAUCAUGGCCAAUAGAAAUAGAAUGUGAGCCACAGACAUAAUUUAAACUUUUCUUGUAGUCACUUAAAAACAUGGUAAAUCUAUGAAAUAGAAGAUUGCUCGUGCAAAUAAAUGAACUCUGCUUUGGUCUCAGUGA
Molecule: long non-coding RNA, 983 nt
Filed under: Homo sapiens (human)
Lineage: Eukaryota; Metazoa; Chordata; Mammalia; Primates; Hominidae
Description: non-protein coding HNF4A-AS1:1
Source: RNAcentral